GGGUUGUGAGGUUAAGCGACUAAGCGUACACGGUGGAUGCCCUGGCAGUCAGAGGCGAUGAAGGACGUGCUAAUCUGCGAUAAGCGUCGGUAAGGUGAUAUGAACCGUUAUAACCGGCGAUUUCCGAAUGGGGAAACCCAGUGUGAUUCGUCACACUAUCAUUAACUGAAUCCAUAGGUUAAUGAGGCGAACCGGGGGAACUGAAACAUCUAAGUACCCCGAGGAAAAGAAAUCAACCGAGAUUCCCCCAGUAGCGGCGAGCGAACGGGGAGCAGCCCAGAGCCUGAAUCAGUGUGUGUGUUAGUGGAAGCGUCUGGAAAGGCGUGCGAUACAGGGUGACAGCCCCGUACACAAAAAUGCACAUGCUGUGAGCUCGAUGAGUAGGGCGGGACACGUGGUAUCCUGUCUGAAUAUGGGGGGACCAUCCUCCAAGGCUAAAUACUCCUGACUGACCGAUAGUGAACCAGUACCGUGAGGGAAAGGCGAAAAGAACCCCGGCGAGGGGAGUGAAAAAGAACCUGAAACCGUGUACGUACAAGCAGUGGGAGCACGCUUAGGCGUGUGACUGCGUACCUUUUGUAUAAUGGGUCAGCGACUUAUAUUCUGUAGCAAGGUUAACCGAAUAGGGGAGCCGAAGGGAAACCGAGUCUUAACUGGGCGUUAAGUUGCAGGGUAUAGACCCGAAACCCGGUGAUCUAGCCAUGGGCAGGUUGAAGGUUGGGUAACACUAACUGGAGGACCGAACCGACUAAUGUUGAAAAAUUAGCGGAUGACUUGUGGCUGGGGG
This 787-nucleotide ribosomal RNA is filed under the name Escherichia coli. RNAcentral's name for it is "partial 23S ribosomal RNA". It matches the Rfam family "Bacterial large subunit ribosomal RNA", at positions 1 to 821 of the family's 2925-position model. The record is from RNAcentral. Lineage: Bacteria; Pseudomonadati; Pseudomonadota; Gammaproteobacteria; Enterobacterales; Enterobacteriaceae.